This 560-nucleotide ribosomal RNA is filed under the name Clostridium botulinum C. RNAcentral describes it as "bacterial SSU rRNA". It matches the Rfam family "Bacterial small subunit ribosomal RNA", at positions 978 to 1533 of the family's 1533-position model. The record is from RNAcentral. Lineage: Bacteria; Bacillati; Bacillota; Clostridia; Eubacteriales; Clostridiaceae.
GACUUGACAUCUCCUGAAUUACUCUUAAUCGAGGAAGUCCCUUCGGGGACAGGAAGACAGGUGGUGCAUGGUUGUCGUCAGCUCGUGUCGUGAGAUGUUGGGUUAAGUCCCGCAACGAGCGCAACCCUUAUUGUUAGUUGCUACUAUUAAGUUAAGCACUCUAACGAGACUGCCGCGGUUAACGUGGAGGAAGGUGGGGAUGACGUCAAAUCAUCAUGCCCCUUAUGUCUAGGGCUACACACGUGCUACAAUGGCUGGUACAACGAGCAGCAAACCCGCGAGGGGGAGCAAAACUUGAAAGCCAGUCCCAGUUCGGAUUGUAGGCUGAAACUCGCCUACAUGAAGUUGGAGUUGCUAGUAAUCGCGAAUCAGCAUGUCGCGGUGAAUACGUUCCCGGGUCUUGUACACACCGCCCGUCACACCAUGAGAGCCGGUAACACCCGAAGCCCGUGAGGUAACCGUAAGGAGCCAGCGGUCGAAGGUGGGAUUGGUGAUUGGGGUGAAGUCGUAACAAGGUAGCCGGAGGAGAACCUGCGGCUGGAUCACCUCCUUUCUAGGGA